UCACUAGUUUAUGAGCUAUACAAAUUGUAUUUAGCUCUAGCUAUAAGUAUGAAAAAACUGUAUAAUUAGACAUAUAGUUUUAAUCACUUUUAUUCCCUAAAGAAUAUAUUUUCAUAUAGAUUAAACUCUAAUGUAUUUAAUUAGAACUAUAAUGUUUUGGGUAUGGGAUUUUGUGAUUCUUCUGUUGCUCUCCUACUUGUGGCUAAAAUGCAUUGUUAUCUAUAAUAUUACUCUAAGUAGAUUUUUUUUUUUUAAGAUUUAAGUGUACCAUAUGAUACUUCAGAUAUUAAAUAAACUAAAACUUGGAUAUUUACUGUAUUUUUGUAUAAAUACAUUCAAGAUACCUCAGAUAUUAAAUAAACUCUAGUACAC
This 372-nucleotide long non-coding RNA is filed under the name Bos taurus (domestic cattle). RNAcentral's name for it is "long non-coding RNA NONBTAT020046". The record is from RNAcentral. Lineage: Eukaryota; Metazoa; Chordata; Mammalia; Artiodactyla; Bovidae.